Molecule: ribosomal RNA, 253 nt
Filed under: uncultured bacterium
Lineage: Bacteria
Description: partial 16S ribosomal RNA
Rfam family: Bacterial small subunit ribosomal RNA
Source: RNAcentral
UACAUAGGUCCCGAGCGUUGUUCGGAUUCACUGGGCGUAAAGGGUGCGCAGGUGGCUUGGCAAGUUUGAUGUGAAAGCUCAGGGCUUAACCCUGAAAUGGCAUUGAAUACUGUUGAGCUGGAGGUUUGGAGGGGGGACUGGAAUUCUUGGUGUAGCAGUGAAAUGCGUAGAUAUCAAGAGGAACACCAGUGGCGAAGGCGGCUCACUGGCCCGGUACUGACGCUGAGGUGCGAAAGCGUGGGGAGCAAACAGG